CGCAGGUAGAUUUGUUACUGUUUCCGACCACCUUAAUUUGAUGUGUCUUAGCACGUAAGACGUACAUAUUACACAUGUUAACUAUGUGGCCCAUGUAAAGAAGAGCUUAUAAUAAAGGGUUUCAGACCUGCAUCUGCUCAUCCAUCAAAUGAACAAUGUCUUCCCCUUUCUCUCUCUCUCAACUCUCUUUCUUGUUUUCAUCAUAAUUCAUCAAACACAUUAGCUCAC
RNAcentral lists this long non-coding RNA (228 nucleotides) under Manihot esculenta (cassava). Its description in RNAcentral is "long non-coding RNA (MESC_LNC005214)". The record is from RNAcentral. Lineage: Eukaryota; Viridiplantae; Streptophyta; Magnoliopsida; Malpighiales; Euphorbiaceae.